This 497-nucleotide ribosomal RNA is filed under the name uncultured bacterium. RNAcentral's name for it is "partial 16S ribosomal RNA". It matches the Rfam family "Bacterial small subunit ribosomal RNA", at positions 28 to 507 of the family's 1533-position model. The record is from RNAcentral.
GAUGAACGCUGGCGGCGUGCCUAAUACAUGCAAGUCGAGCGAACAGACGAGGAGCUUGCUCCUCUGACGUUAGCGGCGGACGGGUGAGUAACACGUGGAUAACCUACCUAUAAGACUGGGAUAACUUCGGGAAACCGGAGCUAAUACCGGAUAAUAUAUUGAACCGCAUGGUUCAAUAGUGAAAGACGGUUUUGCUGUCACUUAUAGAUGGAUCCGCGCCGCAUUAGCUAGUUGGUAAGGUAACGGCUUACCAAGGCAACGAUGCGUAGCCGACCUGAGAGGGUGAUCGGCCACACUGGAACUGAGACACGGUCCAGACUCCUACGGGAGGCAGCAGUAGGGAAUCUUCCGCAAUGGGCGAAAGCCUGACGGAGCAACGCCGCGUGAGUGAUGAAGGUCUUCGGAUUGUAAAACUCUGUUAUUAGGGAAGAACAAAUGUGUAAGUAACUAUGCACGUCUUGACGGUACCUAAUCAGAAAGCCACGGCUAACUACGUG